AGCUGAAGCAGGUUCCAGGAGCCAAGCUGAGAACACAAGCACAGCAGCACCUGUAGCUGGGCUGGGCUCAAUUAAAAAUGAAAAAAAAAAAGGAAAAAAAAAAGGGCGGAGAUGGUUCGUGUGAUAAGUGCUAAUUAGCUCUUCUUUGUAGGGAGUUUGGGGUUUGGUCAGAGGCAAGCAGGGAGAUUGGAGAUUGCUGAACUGGUUUUGCUGAGCUUGACUUUUGGCAGACAGCUGUGGGACUAGUAUAGAAAACAUGCUGUUUGCACUGCCCAUACAGUCCAACAUCUGCUGAAACAAGAGGCUGGAAUGUAAGGAGAAGAAAAGGGAGACAACUGGAGCUUUCUCCCCCACACAGAGGUAUCAGCACUGCACGCUCACUCUGUUCCCUUCUGCAGCACUGACUGUAUCUCUAAAGCUCUCCAGCAAAUCCACUCAUCCAAUGCCAUCUGCAUUUACCAUUUCACAAAAAUAUAAUUCAAGAUCUGAUUAAAACCAGAACAUGCUGCUUGUCAAGAUCCAGUCUAGGAUAUCAAAGGACCAAGCUGGUAGAGCCAGAAUGCUGUCUGGAGAUGGGUACAGGUUUUUGGGGAUGGAGCUGCAACCAGUUUCAACUUCUGCCAGCACUCACAGAUGCUCUCCCCACUAACAGGCAGUCCUUGCUUGUGCUGCCAACCACCUGGCUAGACAACACCUCAGCUGCUCCACUGACACCCCUUCAUGUAGCACCACACACCCCCAUCCUGCCUGCCAGCCUUCUUGGGAUAUGCUCAACAGCUUGAGUGUUGAGAACAUACCAUAAGUUUUAAGAAGAGAGUUCUUUAAAAAUAGAAAGCAGGUGUCUUUACUUCCCCCCACCCCCUCAAGUCCCUCUGCUAAAUAAGCAUGUUGAGUAAAGAAUGGUACUUGAGUAAAGAUGCUCUCUUCUCCCCUUGCUUUCAACUCUAACAGAUAUCUUUAGAAUCCAGUCUGGUAAAAAAAAA
Long non-coding RNA from Passer montanus (Eurasian tree sparrow), 983 nucleotides. RefSeq lists it as uncharacterized. Lineage: Eukaryota; Metazoa; Chordata; Aves; Passeriformes; Passeridae. The transcript is spliced from 2 exons. The record is from RefSeq and is a predicted model, not a curated record.